CUGGGCCCGUGCCCGGUGCGGCUCCCCGGGAGCGGGGAUGAUGCGGUCUGUGCCGGCAGCCGCCGUGGCACCGAGCCCGGCGUAGGUGUGCUUUCCCUGCGCCGUACAGCGGGGAUGCACGUGGCUCAAGUGCCGUAAUAGGAGCGUAGCUUUGGCAGUCCACAAGAUAGCUUCUUAACACGUUGACCUUCAGCAUUCUUACUUGGUGAUAUUCACAUCUAACAUGACUUGGAAACUUCAGCUUUGUGCUGACGUCUGGUUGGUGUUUCUGAGACUAUUAACAAUAGCUACCUUCCUCAGACUCUCCAGCAAUGGCUCAUAAACUUCCUGGGAUCUGUAACCUUCUUGUUGAAAAUUACUGGUUUGCAUUA
Molecule: long non-coding RNA, 371 nt
Organism: Myiozetetes cayanensis
Lineage: Eukaryota; Metazoa; Chordata; Aves; Passeriformes; Tyrannidae
Exons: 3
Source: RefSeq, a predicted model, not a curated record